CCCUUUCACGUUGGCUUAUUUAUUUUCAUAAUGCCACAAAGAAGUCCCAAAUCUUUACAAUUCCUUACUUGCUUCUCUUUUUUUUUUUUAAAAAAAAAAAAGAAAAGCCCUAGAAUAUCAGAUCAUGUUUUAAAAAACUAAUUGAAUUAUUUUAAGUUAUGACAAUGAUAGAAUGUGACAGUCAAUCAAAAUUCCAAACUAAAAAACCUCUAAAGAAAGAAUGAACCAUCACCGGGUCUCACCACAUCUCGCAGCUGUUCAGGCUGAAGCAACUGUCACCCAGUGCUAGUGCCGUCCCCAACACCACUCCCAUGCAGAAAGCAUGUGUCCUAUGCAUCUGACACACGGAGACUUAGAGCCAUGUUUUACCAACUUUCCAAUUAAUGCAAAAACCUGCCACAAUGGCAACUGUGCUGAAAACAGCAGUAAAGCCAGCCUGCUGACAAGUCCAGUCUCCCGAUUUACAGAGCACAGACGUUUUCUAACUAUACAGCUACACCAAUUUAUAAGCAACUAAUACAUUUUGAAUUGUUAGUAAUAUAAUAACGUUAUAAAUAGUUUACUUUCUCCUUUUCCUUAUAAUUUUUAUAUUCAUGCAUCUCAUUUAUUUAUUGAGUAGACUAUUAAAUUCUGGAUUUAAAUAUGACUAAGCAUAAAAUAAAACAGAGAUAUGGAUAACACAGCUGAGUUUUACUAGAUGUUUCAGAGAGUUAAAGCUAUGAACUAGGAGACAGACUUGAUCUAAGGUAAGCAAGGAGAAAGUUGGAUCUGACUUUAAGUUCCUCACAGUUUUACCUGUCAUGUACAUAUGAACAUCCAUGGCCCAGAUUCUGAAUGUCUAUGUGCCAUAGAGCUAACUGUGUCAUAAAUGGAACGUCCAUUACUUGAAGAAAGGCCCCUCUGAUGCUAAACUUUUACAAGGUAUGGAGUCUGGAGUAGGCAACCAUAUUAACAAGGUUUUAAGACCUAGUCAAAAAUAUAUAUAUUUACACAUAAAUAAUAACCUCUAAGGAACUUGAGUUUAAAUGACAAUGUCUAUCACCAGAAGCACCUGGGCUAGCAGUGCUAUAAUCCUAAUCAGAGGGUAACAUUGCAUCACUUUUCUUCAGUUCAGCACUAGACUAUCUUCCUGUCAUCUGAAGAUCACAGUAGACUCCACUUUAAGCUGUCACACGAAGAGGCACUGCCUGAAUGCCUCAAGGUAUGUCCAGUAGUCAAGCUGCUCUUAGCAUCUAAGAGUUAGGUGGCACCAACAUCCUCCCAUUAGCUCUAUAACUUCACUCACAAAUCCAGGGUUACAUUUGGCUCUUCCACUUAACCCCUGUCUGUUACCAUGGCUGCUAUGUAGCUGCUAUUCAACAUUAUGUUUCUAUUUCUGCUAAAUCAUUCCUAUUAUCUUUAUCAACCCUAAGUUUCUUUUUAGAACUCUGGAACAAUAUGAAAACAUUAAAAAUAUUUUUAAUUUUGUCUUUCAAAUACAAUAAAAUUCUGAUAUAUGAUGUUAAGAUAAUUCAAUUACUAGACAAGUGAUCUCUGUUUACAUAAUACAUACUUUGUAAAGAGGUUUCACUGACUUUUUCUUUAGUGAGGUGAGUUUAAACUAUUCUAAAAGCAGUAAAUUAGCUCAUUACUUUGUGAGUUAGGAAGAGCACA
Molecule: non-coding RNA, 1653 nt
Organism: Peromyscus maniculatus bairdii (prairie deer mouse)
Lineage: Eukaryota; Metazoa; Chordata; Mammalia; Rodentia; Cricetidae
Source: RefSeq, a predicted model, not a curated record